RNAcentral lists this ribosomal RNA (422 nucleotides) under uncultured bacterium. Its description in RNAcentral is "bacterial SSU rRNA". It matches the Rfam family "Bacterial small subunit ribosomal RNA", at positions 355 to 774 of the family's 1533-position model. The record is from RNAcentral.
UAAGGAAUAUUGGUCAAUGGACGCAAGUCUGAACCAGCCAUGCCGCGUGGAGGAUGAAGGUCCUCUGGAUUGUAAACUUCUUUUAUCUGGGACGAAACACUUCUUUUCCAAGAGGCCUGACGGUACCAGAUGAAUAAGCACCGGCUAACUCCGUGCCAGCAGCCGCGGUAAUACGGAGGGUGCAAGCGUUAUCCGGAUUUACUGGGCGUAAAGGGUGCGUAGGUGGGCUUAUAAGUCAGUGGUGAAAUCUCCGAGCUUAACUUGGAAACUGCCGUUGAUACUAUAGGUCUUGAAUUAUCUGGAGGUAAGCGGAAUAUGUCAUGUAGCGGUGAAAUGCUUAGAUAUGACAUAGAACACCAAUUGCGAAGGCAGCUUACUACAUAUAAAUUGACGCUGAGGCACGAAAGCGUGGGGAUCAAACA